UACUAGAGUAGCACUCGCAUAUCAAUAAGCGGAGGAAAAGAAACUAACAAGGAUUCCCCUAGUAACGGCGAGUGGAGCGGGAAGAGCUCAAAUUUGAAAUCUUAAAGGGUUUCCCUUUACGAAUUGUAGUUUAAAGAAGUGUUUUCUGUUGAGGUUUUGGUAAAAGUUCUUUGGAAUAGGACAUCAUAGAGGGUGAGAAUCCCGUAUUUGACCUUUACUUUCAACUUUGUGAUACACUUUCGAAGAGUCGGAUUGUUUGGGAAUGCAGUCCAAAAUGGGUGGUAAAUUUCAUCUAAAGCUAAAUAUUGGCGAGAGACCGAUAGCGAACAAGUACCGUGAGGGAAAGAUGAAAAGAACUUUGAAAAGAGAGUUAAACAGUACGUGAAAUUGUCAAAAGGGAAGCGUUUGACACCAGUGUUGUUUUUCUGAAAAUCAAUUAAAGAACUGUUUAUGCUAAGUUGUUUAGACUUUAUCAGCUAACUGUUUAGUUUUGAGCUUUUCUUUAAUGCACUUUUCAGUUAACAAGUCAACAUCAAUUUCUUUUGCUGUAAAAAAGCUUGAGGAAGGUGGCUUGAGAUUCGUCUUAAGUGUUUAUAGCCUCUUGCCUAUGCAGUCGGAGAGAUUGAGGUCUGCAGCGUAGAUCCUUCGGGGCUAAAUGCAUUUGUGCUAAGUUAUAGCAUUUUAUAGACAACUUGUUGACUAUGAUUUGUCUUGUAGCUUACUCGCUUAUGUUAUUUUACCUACGCUUAGGAUGUUGAGCGCAUGUCUCUCUCU
RNAcentral lists this ribosomal RNA (774 nucleotides) under uncultured Neocallimastigales. RNAcentral's name for it is "partial large subunit ribosomal RNA". It matches the Rfam family "Eukaryotic large subunit ribosomal RNA", at positions 20 to 616 of the family's 3401-position model. Lineage: Eukaryota; Fungi; Neocallimastigomycota; Neocallimastigomycetes; Neocallimastigales. The record is from RNAcentral.